RNAcentral lists this ribosomal RNA (253 nucleotides) under uncultured bacterium. Its description in RNAcentral is "partial 16S ribosomal RNA". It matches the Rfam family "Bacterial small subunit ribosomal RNA", at positions 524 to 776 of the family's 1533-position model. The record is from RNAcentral.
UACGUAGGGUGCGAGCGUUAAUCGGAAUUACUGGGCGUAAAGCGUGCGUAGACGGUUAUUUAAGUCGGAUGUGAAAGCCCCGGGCUCAACCUGGGAAUUGCAUUCGAGACUGAAUAGCUAGGGUGCGGUAGAGGGAAGCGGAAUUUCCGGUGUAGCGGUGAAAUGCGUAGAUAUCGGAAGGAACAUCAGUGGCGAAAGCGGCUUCCUGGACCAGCACCGACGUUCAGGCACGAAAGCGUGGGGAGCAAACAGG